UCUAGGAGCCUCGUGGGAAGAGCCACAUCUCCCGGGAGCCGUGGUGACCUCCUAACCCAGGAGCUGUCAGCUGGGCCUAGUGUGCAAACGGGCUCUUCACAGAUGAUCAAGACACACGUCGUGAUCACGAGAUUCUCAUAACUCGCUCGCGCACAGAGAGCCGAAGAUCGGAAACAUCUCGUUGGAGAAGAGAGGAAGAGGGCGGAGUUUAACAGAGGCGUCGGGGGUCAGGCCACGCGCGGCCGGAAAGCAGAGAAGCACGGCGCAGGCGAGGAGGCGGGAGGCCCGGCGUAAGCUCGCCCAGCGAGCGCUCCAUCCCAGCCCAGCACAGACACAACCGCACUGACCUGCACACUGGCCGCUCUCCUUGGUGUAGCCCGGGACGCACUCUCUACACUGUUCUGGACCCUUCCCCGUGCAGCCCACACAGG
Molecule: long non-coding RNA, 431 nt
Organism: Prionailurus viverrinus (fishing cat)
Lineage: Eukaryota; Metazoa; Chordata; Mammalia; Carnivora; Felidae
Exons: 3
Source: RefSeq, a predicted model, not a curated record